AAAGAUUUUUGGUAUAGUGAUAUCUCACUUCGUCUGAUUCGGAAAAGGCAGACCUCGACUGCCUUAGGAUUGAGACAGACUCUUGUUAAUCUGAAUAAGGUUGUCAUCUCAUCUGCUAUUGUCCGGAUACUUGGCGAGUCGAGAAAUUCCGAAUAAAUGGUGGGAUUUUAGAAGACUUGCUAUGCAAGAAUCUGCUGGUGCAAUUCAAAUUGCAAGGCAUUCAAUUGCCUUGUUGCAAAUUAGACAACAAGGAUAACGCUGGAUCCGAGAUGCGUUACGCCUGUACGGGACUUUUACAAACGAUUGUUGAUUCUUUCAUUACUGAGUUUAUCUGGAUCUACUGCCAUCUGCUCUGAUGGAGGAACUUGACCAGAUACAAGUAGCUUUGUUUUCAGGAACAACAUAUCCUAAAUUUCAAGCUUCCUGAACAGUUCAGAAAAUUUCUUCAGAAAAUCAAGUCCAGAAGAUCCCAAGUAAUCGAAUUUAACAUGGAGAUCAAUAUUGGUGGUCAAGAUAUUUUGCCUUCACGUUUUAUGCCAAUACCUUCAAAAUUCAAAGUGUACAUCAUCGAUAGAGUUGAAAAUCGUAUGGAGAUAUUGACAGCUUUUAUAACGAAAACUAUAUUUAGCAGAAAUACCAUUCAAAACGAACUUUGUAGGGAUGCAGUUAAAUCUGAUAUAGAUCCUGAGAGAAUUUGAGGUUAUCCUCCGAAACUGAAGAACUUUUACACAAGCCAGGCUGUCAUGGAUGAUGCACUGGUGCUCCACCAGUCUGCUCACUUCAUGAGCAUGAAAUCUAUAACCGUGAACUACCCGAGUGGCUGUCAUCAUCGUCACCAAUAAUCAACAUGCGCGAUGAUUCCCUAUAAUGCUUCUUGCAGCAAUACAGUGCACCCACGAAUUUGGACAAGGCUCUCUGCAUUGGAAUACGUACUUUUCAUAAAGUACUCCAGAAGCGACCACGCAAGACACCUCUUCUAAAUUCUAAUGUCAUUUUUUAAAUGUGAUUGUAGGAAGAUCAUGAACAGUUUGGCAACUUUUAUAAUAAGUUUCUCAAA
Long non-coding RNA from Argiope bruennichi, 1057 nucleotides. RefSeq lists it as uncharacterized. Lineage: Eukaryota; Metazoa; Arthropoda; Arachnida; Araneae; Araneidae. The record is from RefSeq and is a predicted model, not a curated record. The transcript has 4 exons.